Molecule: ribosomal RNA, 253 nt
Filed under: uncultured bacterium
Lineage: Bacteria
Description: partial 16S ribosomal RNA
Rfam family: Bacterial small subunit ribosomal RNA
Source: RNAcentral
UACGUAGGGUGCAAGCGUUGUCCGGAAUUAUUGGGCGUAAAGAGCUCGUAGGCGGUUUGUCGCGUCUGCUGUGAAAACCCGAGGCUCAACCUCGGGCCUGCAGUGGGUACGGGCAGACUAGAGUGCGGUAGGGGAGAUUGGAAUUCCUGGUGUAGCGGUGGAAUGCGCAGAUAUCAGGAGGAACACCAAUGGCGAAGGCAGAUCUCUGGGCCGUAACUGACGCUGAGGAGCGAAAGCGUGGGGAGCGAACAGG